UGGAUACUAGUAAGUUUUAACCUGCUCAGCCACAAUGGGAACUCCACAAUUCUCUUUUAAUUAGAAAAAUGUUUGAUAAACCCAAAAUAAUUAAAACACCUAAUCAUGCUUCACACUUUGUCUUAUUACCCCACAGACCACAUGAGACAAGAGAAAGACCCCUCGAAACUUAUAUUCCAUUUGCUACAAUUGACCAUCUGGGGAAAGCAGACAAAGACCAAACUUCCAGAAACUUGGAGACAGGGAGAGCACAGAGGAUCUUCCGCUGCUCUCAUCGGGGGCAGGAGCCAAGCCUGGCAUUGUUGGAACUGGAGAGAGACGUGCUAGAGUGCAGAAUGUUCAUCGGGGUGAAUGGAAAGAUGUAGAAGAAAUGUGCUUACAAGGUCUGGACCUUAACCCUCUGAACCACCGCAGAACUCCACCACCCAUGUUUUAAACUGGGCUCUUUCCCAAGAUUUUACUGCUGUCCUGAGUGCACCCGCCAGCGGCAAGGGCACUGUCACCUUUCUUACACUCUGCCCCCUUCACCACGCCAGUGUUAAGACUUCAUCAAGCUAGCCUGGGAUCAUUUCUCCCUGCCUAACCUGGAUGGAGACCAGGAUGCUGUGUCCUACUGUGGAAGACUGGUAUCGUGCCCAAGGGGGAUUGCUACACCAAAAUCAAGUAAGAGGUGUGUGUUUGUUGUGUGCCUUAGAAAGAAAGGUCUGGUGCUAGCACCGCCCAUGAACACGGUUCAACAUGAGUUCCUGAGUCCAGAGCCGAGAGCAGCUGUAAGUCUCCCCUCCUCCUUAGUCCAUCAUGGUCUUUGGGGAACAAAAGUGCCCAGACAUCUCUCCCUGUCGAUUAGCAAGCUGCUGUAUUUACCAAUAAACAUCUGCCUUCUAAAGGGAAAGCAUUUAUUCAACACACUGCUCUUCAGAGAUUUAUAGAUGCAGCUUGUCUUGCCAUUGCUCUAAAUCACGACCCCCUUCUUUGUCCUCCUCUAUUGCUCUUUUCUGAAGAUUUACUUUUUGAGGGGUUCCCAUUGUGGCUCAGUGGUAACAAACCCAACUAGUGUCCAUGAGGAUGCAGGUUUGAUCCCUGGCCUCACUCAGUGGGUUAGGGAUC
Long non-coding RNA from Sus scrofa (pig), 1107 nucleotides. RefSeq lists it as uncharacterized. Lineage: Eukaryota; Metazoa; Chordata; Mammalia; Artiodactyla; Suidae. The record is from RefSeq and is a predicted model, not a curated record.